CAGCCGUAAACUAUGCUCGCUAGGUGUCAGGCAUGGCGCGACCGUGUCUGGUGCCGCAGGGAAGCCGUGAAGCGAGCCACCUGGGAAGUACGGCCGCAAGGCUGAAACUUAAAGGAAUUGGGCGGGGGAGCACAACAACGGGUGGAGCCUGCGGUUUAAUUGGACUCAACGCCGGGAAGCUCACCGGAUAAGACAGCGGAAUGAUUGCCGGGCUGAAGACUCUGCAUGACUAGCUGAGAGGAGGUGCAUGGCGUAGGACGUCU
RNAcentral lists this ribosomal RNA (263 nucleotides) under uncultured archaeon. RNAcentral describes it as "partial 16S ribosomal RNA". It matches the Rfam family "Archaeal small subunit ribosomal RNA", at positions 748 to 1009 of the family's 1478-position model. The record is from RNAcentral.